Molecule: ribosomal RNA, 419 nt
Filed under: uncultured eukaryote
Lineage: Eukaryota
Description: SSU rRNA
Rfam family: Eukaryotic small subunit ribosomal RNA
Source: RNAcentral
CAAUAGCGUAUAUUAAAGUUGUUGCGGUUAAAAAGCUCGUAGUUGGAUUUCUGUUGAGAGCGGCCGGUCCACCUUUUGGGUGAGUAUCUGGAUUGGUCUCGGCAUCCUCACAACGAAUGUUUCUGCGCUUGAUUGCGUGGUAUAGGCGUUGUGACUUUACUUUGGGAAGUAAUGAGUGUGUCUACGGCAGGCAUACGCCUUGAAUAUAUUAGCAUGGAAUAAUACUAUAGGAUUUCGGUUCUAUUUUGUUGGUUUCUAGAGCUGAAAUAAUGAUUAAUAGGGACAAUUGGGGCAUUCGUAUUGACGAGUCAGAGGUGAAAUUCUUGGAUUUCGUCACGACGAACUACUGCGAAAGCAUUUGCCAAGGAUGUUUCAUUGAUCAAGAACGAAAGUAAGGGGAUCGAAGAUGAUCAGAUACC